Molecule: long non-coding RNA, 644 nt
Organism: Colossoma macropomum (tambaqui)
Lineage: Eukaryota; Metazoa; Chordata; Actinopteri; Characiformes; Serrasalmidae
Exons: 4
Source: RefSeq, a predicted model, not a curated record
CGUUGACUGUGAAAAGCAGAAAAUGCUAAACCAGCUUCUAAGACUGUACUUUGAAGAUAAAAGAAUGCAAAACUGAGGAGGCAUGGAAAAACCUUCAGGACGGUUUGGGUGACUGGAUUGCAGACUGUGGUGUGCCAGGGGUAUAUGAAGCCAAAGUCCAUGACAUUCCUCAGAUACUUUCCCAAGUUGUGAAGCAUUUCAUCUUUCACAGAACUGCAAACAUGGUUGAGCAGUUUAAACAAGGAAUCAACUCUUGUGGCAAACUUUGGGAAACUGUGGAGAGGUACUGGAACACAUUUCAGUGCCUGUUUACACACACAGAGGGACCACUGACAAGAGCUGCCUUUCGGUGUCUUUUUGAUGUCAUUUGGAGUGACGAAGGGACGAACAACAAGGAAGUUGAAGAGGACACUAUGUUUGUAUGGGAAUGUCUUCUCAACAGUGUGCAAGAAAAACAAACUCCUUUCACCUUUGAGGACCUACUGGUGUUACGGGAGCAGAUGCAGUACCACCUCUUGGAUUUCCACAGCGACUUCAAAUACAGUUUUAUGAUCAGGGCAAUCGUUUUCCUUAUGCCUCAACUUGCUCUGUGACACUCUUCUUUCCUCGUGGCAUCCAGAAUUAAAAUGAGUUACUUGAUCUGA